GCUGUCUCCAAGAGCGGCGGAGCCAGCCAAACCGGGUCAGGUCCGAAAGGAAGCAGCCCUGCGGCCAAUGGUCUUCGGGUGCUUGCGGAGGCAGCGUU
Molecule: signal recognition particle RNA, 98 nt
Filed under: Planctomycetaceae bacterium
Lineage: Bacteria; Pseudomonadati; Planctomycetota; Planctomycetia; Planctomycetales; Planctomycetaceae
Description: signal recognition particle sRNA small type
Rfam family: Bacterial small signal recognition particle RNA
About the family: The signal recognition particle (SRP) is a universally conserved ribonucleoprotein involved in the co-translational targeting of proteins to membranes. Archaeal SRP consists of a 7S RNA and homologues of the eukaryotic SRP19 and SRP54 proteins.
Source: RNAcentral